Molecule: long non-coding RNA, 358 nt
Filed under: Sarcophilus harrisii (Tasmanian devil)
Lineage: Eukaryota; Metazoa; Chordata; Mammalia; Dasyuromorphia; Dasyuridae
Description: lncRNA (ENSSHAG00000030572.1)
Source: RNAcentral
AUUCAAUGUUCCCACCAUCAUCCUCACUAACUUCUAUAAAUGGUGAACAGAAAAUUGAUAGAAAAAUCAAUACAUGCUUCCCAGGGGUACUUAACUCAGAAGAAGAGAAAACCAAAAACUCUGAAGGCCUUGGGCAAAACUUGGCUGAAAACCCAUGUAGAUCAGGAAUACUCCAGCCAACUCUACCAAAGCCAUCUUGUCUUCUGCUCUCAAAGGACCCUAUCCAAUUCUCAAUGACUUUUGUUAAUGAAGUUCCUGAAGAUCAGACAAGGGAAACAGAAUCAGAAUCAGAAUUGGAAAGGAGGAAGAAGGAACCAAAGAACAAGGUAUCUCUGCCAUUAUAUUUUGAAGAUUUUUC